Molecule: long non-coding RNA, 394 nt
Filed under: Trifolium pratense (red clover)
Lineage: Eukaryota; Viridiplantae; Streptophyta; Magnoliopsida; Fabales; Fabaceae
Description: long non-coding RNA (TPRA_LNC010428)
Source: RNAcentral
GUUUAUGUAACUCAAACAAUUUGACAGUGCUCCAUUUUAUCAUAGUCAUUCAGCUAUUUGAUGGUCUUGAAGCGUAUUUGAUGUGUCGAACUGUUAUCACUCAUAUUGUGUAAGUAACCAUGUGCUUUUAAGUGUAUGUAGCUCAUAAACAAUUUUUGUUUAUCAUGCUUAUUUUUAAUUCUGAAACUUCUGAAUAUUACUCCCGUAGACAUGACUCAUGAGUAGCUUCUUGUUAGUAUUAUUAGUUAUGCUUCAUUCAAGUUUGAACACUAAGUGAUGAAUUUUCUGGUUCCUUGGCUGUAAUUUUUUUUUAAGAGUUACAGAAUUACUACUCUGCUUUUUUAUUUUGAUAUGAUGGUUGUGAAGUUUCAGUUUUAGGCUAAGAUUAUUGUUA